CGGGGCGUAGCGCAGUCUGGUAGCGCACCAGCAUGGGGCGCUGGUGGUCGUGGGUUCGAAUCCCGCCGCCCCGACCA
RNAcentral lists this transfer RNA (77 nucleotides) under Chromatiales bacterium. RNAcentral's name for it is "tRNA-Pro". It matches the Rfam family "tRNA". From Rfam's summary of the family: Transfer RNA (tRNA) molecules are approximately 80 nucleotides in length. Their secondary structure includes four short double-helical elements and three loops (D, anti-codon, and T loops). Further hydrogen bonds mediate the characteristic L-shaped molecular structure. tRNAs have two regions of fundamental functional importance: the anti-codon, which is responsible for specific mRNA codon recognition, and the 3' end, to which the tRNAs corresponding amino acid is attached (by aminoacyl-tRNA synthetases). tRNAs cope with the degeneracy of the genetic code in two manners: having more than one tRNA (with a specific anti-codon) for a particular amino acid; and 'wobble' base-pairing, i.e. permitting non-standard base-pairing at the 3rd anti-codon position. The record is from RNAcentral. Lineage: Bacteria; Pseudomonadati; Pseudomonadota; Gammaproteobacteria; Chromatiales.